RNAcentral lists this ribosomal RNA (234 nucleotides) under uncultured bacterium. RNAcentral's name for it is "partial 16S ribosomal RNA". It matches the Rfam family "Bacterial small subunit ribosomal RNA", at positions 524 to 757 of the family's 1533-position model. The record is from RNAcentral.
UACGUAGGGUGCAAGCGUUAAUCGGAAUUACUGGGCGUAAAGCGUGCGCAGGCGGUUGUGUAAGACAGAUGUGAAAUCCCCGGGCUCAACCUGGGAACUGCAUUUGUGACUGCACGGCUCGAGUGCGGCAGAGGGGGAUGGAAUUCCGCGUGUAGCAGUGAAAUGCGUAGAUAUGCGGAGGAACACCGAUGGCGAAGGCAAUCCCCUGGGCCUGCACUGACGCUCAUGCACGAA